Molecule: long non-coding RNA, 1145 nt
Organism: Mercenaria mercenaria
Lineage: Eukaryota; Metazoa; Mollusca; Bivalvia; Venerida; Veneridae
Exons: 2
Source: RefSeq, a predicted model, not a curated record
GGUGUUCACUCUGGGCAGGUGUUCACUCUAGACAGGUGUUCACUCUAGACAAGUUACAUUGUAUAGGUUCCAAAACCUUGAGGUUAGGCCACAGUACAACUCUGUUCUACAUUACUUCAUAUCCCUAGGAUAUUAUAGACUGUAUGUAUGAAAGAGAAAAGUCACAUAUUUGUAGACAUUAGCACCAGGUAAAUCAGCUUAUAUCAUACACGUAAGAAAAACUGCGAUGAAUUUUGUGUUAAUUGUUUUUCAUAUUGUGAGAUUUUAGACAGACCAGUACAUUAGUCCUUUGAAUAAUUAAAGAACUUCUAAUGCAAACUGAUAGAAAUUAACGAUAAACCACAGAGUUGGUCAAUCAAUUAGACAUUAACUGGACAUUUAAUAAAUUGAUGGCAAUUUGAUUGGUCAAUAUAUUAUGGAGACAUAUGCUGCCCUAAUGAAACGAUGAUAUACAUACAAACUUGUAACUCAAAGUGUGAAAAGUGGCUCCAUAUUCAAGCUUUGUUAAAAAUAACGAAAAGGUCACCACAGCACUUAAUCCUUGCUAAACUUAAUGCAUGCACCUUAAUGAUAAAAUAUGUGUUAAAUGUGUGCAUGUGAAAGGUAAGAAUAACAAAGAAUAUAUAACAAAGCUAUAAAAUAGGAAGCCAUUUUCAAACAUAUGUAAAUGAUAUAUAAACAUACUCUCACAAAAAUAAAGUAUAAUUAAGCAAGGUUUGAAGCUGAUUGAAGUAGGCAAUAAGUUUACAAUAAAUAAUUUCAUUUUGUUUAAAAAUACAAAUUUAACGAACAAAUUUAAACAAUCAAAUAUGCAAACAAAACAUCAUGGCCCUAUAUCGCUCACCAGAGCUGAUCUGGCCUACUGACCAAGUUUUAGAUACUACAUGACCCAGUUUCAAACUUGACCUAGAGCUCAUAAAGACAAAACUCCUGACCAAGUUUCAUAAAGAUAGGGUCACAACUGUGGCCUCUCAGUGUUAACAAGUUUUUCUUUGAUUUGAACACACAUUCGGACCAAUUCUAAUGAGUUUCAAACUUAAACUGUGAACUCUCGAGUGUCCACAAGAUUUUCCUUUGAUCUGUCUUCCUGACCUAGUUUUUGACCCCACAUGACCCAGUUUCGAACCUGACCUACAGAUCAUCAA